CCUACGGGGGGCAGCAGUGGGGAAUAUUGGACAAUGGGGGCAACCCUGAUCCAGCCAUGCCGCGUGUGUGAAGAAGGCCCUCGGGUUGUAAAGCACUUUCAGUGAGGAAGAACGCCUGGUGGUUAAUACCCAUCAGGAAAGACAUCACUCACAGAAGAAGCACCGGCUAACUCCGUGCCAGCAGCCCCGGUAAUACGGAGGGUGCGAGCGUUAAUCGGAAUUACUGGGCGUAAAGCGCGCGUAGGUGGCUUGAUAAGCCGGUUGUGAAAGCCCCGGGCUCAACCUGGGAACGGCAUCCGGAACUGUCAAGCUAGAGUGCAGGAGAGGAAGGUAGAAUUCCCGGUGUAGCGGUGAAAUGCGUAGAGAUCGGGAGGAAUACCAGUGGCGAAGGCGGCCUUCUGGACUGACACUGACACUGAGGUGCGAAAGCGUGGGUAGCAAACAGGAUUAGAUACCCUAGUAGUC
RNAcentral lists this ribosomal RNA (465 nucleotides) under Vreelandella stevensii. RNAcentral's name for it is "partial 16S ribosomal RNA". It matches the Rfam family "Bacterial small subunit ribosomal RNA", at positions 338 to 795 of the family's 1533-position model. Lineage: Bacteria; Pseudomonadati; Pseudomonadota; Gammaproteobacteria; Oceanospirillales; Halomonadaceae. The record is from RNAcentral.